UGGGGAAUCUUCCGCAAUGGGCGAAAGCCUGACGGAGCAACGCCGCGUGAGUGAUGACGGCCUUCGGGUUGUAAAACUCUGUGAUCCGGGACGAAAAGGCAGAGUGCGAAGAACAAACUGCAUUGACGGUACCGGAAAAGCAAGCCACGGCUAACUACGUGCCAGCAGCCGCGGUAAUACGUAGGUGGCAAGCAUUGUCCGGAAUUAUUGGGCGUAAAGCGCGCGCAGGCGGCUUCCCAAGUCCCUCUUAAAAGCGCGGGGCUUAACCCCGUGAUGGGAAGGAAACUGGGAAGCUGGAGUAUCGGAGAGGAAAGUGGAAUUCCUAGUGUAGCGGUGAAAUGCGUAGAGAUUAGGAAGAACACCGGUGGCGAAGGCGACUUUCUGGACGAAAACUGACGCUGAGGCGCGAAAGCGUGGGGAGCAAACAGGAUUAGAUACCCUGGUAGUCCACGCCGUAAACGAUGGAUACUAGGUGUAGGAGGUAUCGACCCCUUCUGUGCCGGAGUUAACGCAAUAAGUAUCCCGCCUGGGAAGUACGAUCGCAAGAUUA
RNAcentral lists this ribosomal RNA (550 nucleotides) under uncultured bacterium. RNAcentral describes it as "bacterial SSU rRNA". It matches the Rfam family "Bacterial small subunit ribosomal RNA", at positions 355 to 896 of the family's 1533-position model. The record is from RNAcentral.